CUCAUUUCAGGUUUCAUAAAUAAAAAGAAAAUUUCUUCAAACAUUUUUUUGAGAGAAUUAAUAUUCAACAGCAUAGUGAAUUGCUCAAAGGCAAAAAAAAAAUUUAAGUUCAUUAGACCACAUUCAUUCUGUGUCAGAAACCUUUGCUGUGUCAACUAUUUAAUCACAAUCAAAAUUUAGAGCUGAAUCUAGCUUGAAUGUUGUGUCCAUACUUGCCCCAACCGUUCAGGGUUCAAAUUCUGCGGUUGUAUAAAGCUGUGCCCU
Molecule: long non-coding RNA, 264 nt
Filed under: Mytilus galloprovincialis (Mediterranean mussel)
Lineage: Eukaryota; Metazoa; Mollusca; Bivalvia; Mytilida; Mytilidae
Source: RNAcentral